GUAUUCAAUGAGGUUGCACUUGUUCCUGUAAAAAGGAAUAGUUUCGUUCAGGAUUUGAAAUUUUCCUAAGUUCUCUGUUUGGUGACAUGUAUAAACAGAGGUAGACUAUAAGGUUCCACCAUUCUUGAUUGAAAAUAGGGAACGUAACAUCAUCUAAUUUCAACCAAAUUUAUAUAUAUUUUUUUGAAGUCUAUCUAGGUAUGUUGCAGAGGCUUGAAAAUUCUAACCACAAAACACAACAGAAGAAUAACAUGGAAGUACUUUGCAACAUCACAUGUCAAAGGGCCUGUUGAUGGAGUUGGUGGUGUCAUCAAAUGCCAUGUGUUAAAAGUAGACUAUGUACUGUAAACAAUGCAAUGGACUUUGCUAUUGCAGUACAUCCAACUUCCAAGAUGACCGCUAUUCUCAUGGAUGAAGAAGACAUUCUUCAAAGAAGCAAGACAUUGAAACUUUCUUCAUUGCUUAGAAAUUGCAUAGCUUUUCACACAAUCAACAAAGUUCAUCACUUGGAACUCCUUAAUGGUGAAGUAACUGGGCAUAUGACAACAUCAGAAGCAAAAAAAGCAAAGGCUGGAGUAGAAAAACAGGGAAAUGAGCUUGAGUUGGAUGAUUGGUUGGUGGUAAAAUACGACAGUGAGCUUUAACCAGGAAUUGUAACCAGUACUAAAAAUGGUGAAUAUAAGGUUAAGGUUAUUGAGAAAGAUGGAAAGUUAUUGAAGUAGCGUACAAAUAAAGAUGAAAUAUAUAGCAAAGACAAGAUAAUCAGAUAAAUAAAUCCUCCAAAUUAACCCUCCUCCCGAUGUUACUUAAUUUUGAUAGUGAAAUGUGAUUAUGUAAUGUAAGUUACCACAUGCUGUAAUGUGAGCUAUCAAGUGUUUCUUUUUUAAAAGUUGUUUUAGAUUUCCCCAAAACUUACACAUUAAAAUGCUUUUUAGACUCCUAGAAGUUAUGAGUAAAAUUCAGGAGUACCUGGACUUAAGACAGAGCAGAAUUUCAUGUUUGUUAAAUGUCAUACGAAACUCGUUUCUUUAAAAUGUAAUGUGAGUUACCAGGAAUAAAAUUCAGAUUUUUUUGAUUAGGUAAUAAAAAAAAUAGCAA
This is a long non-coding RNA of Pseudophryne corroboree (corroboree frog), 1098 nucleotides long. RefSeq lists it as uncharacterized. The transcript is spliced from 4 exons. Lineage: Eukaryota; Metazoa; Chordata; Amphibia; Anura; Myobatrachidae. The record is from RefSeq and is a predicted model, not a curated record.